This 424-nucleotide ribosomal RNA is filed under the name Verrucomicrobiota bacterium. Its description in RNAcentral is "Verrucomicrobia bacterium partial 16S ribosomal RNA". It matches the Rfam family "Bacterial small subunit ribosomal RNA", at positions 355 to 776 of the family's 1533-position model. Lineage: Bacteria; Pseudomonadati; Verrucomicrobiota. The record is from RNAcentral.
UGAGGAAUAUUGGUCAAUGGGCGAGAGCCUGAACCAGCCAAGCAGCGUGCAGGAUGACGGCCCUAUGGGUUGUAAACUGCUUUUAUAUGGGAAUAAAGUGAGGGACGUGUCCCUUACUGAAUGUACCAUACGAAUAAGGACCGGCUAAUUCCGUGCCAGCAGCCGCGGUAAUACGGAAGGUCCAGGCGUUAUCCGGAUUUAUUGGGUUUAAAGGGAGCGUAGGCUGUUUGUUAAGCGUGUUGUGAAAUGUAAGAGCUCAACUUUUAGAUUGCAGCGCGAACUGGCAGACUUGAGUGCGCACAACGUAGGCGGAAUUCAUGGUGUAGCGGUGAAAUGCUUAGAUAUCAUGACGAACACCGAUUGCGAAGGCAGCUUACGGGAGCGCUACUGACGCUAAAGCUCGAAGGUGCGGGUAUCGAACAGG